CCAAACUUGGUCAUUUAGAGGAAGUAAAAGUCGUAACAAGGUUUCCGUAGGUGAACCUGCGGAAGGAUCAUUACUGAAGAAAUGAUAGGGCUGAGCUGGCUCUUCGGAGUAUGUGCUCGCUCUGUCGCUUUUUCUACUCUCCACUGUGAACCUUUUGUAGGCUAUGAUAACCCUCAGCCCUCGUUUACGAGGCUGGAUAGAGGACUUGCAGUUCGCUUGACCUCACCUUCAUAGCCUAUGGUCUACAUACACUCUUUUUAAACCUUUGAAUGUAAUCUUGUUGGUCUUCACUGACCGAUAAAAAACCUAUACAACUUUCAGCAACGGAUCUCUUGGCUCUCGCAUCGAUGAAGAACGCAGC
RNAcentral lists this unclassified non-coding RNA (361 nucleotides) under uncultured fungus. RNAcentral's name for it is "partial contains small subunit ribosomal RNA, internal transcribed spacer 1, and 5.8S ribosomal RNA". The stretch from base 1 to 73 matches the Rfam family "Eukaryotic small subunit ribosomal RNA", at positions 1759 to 1831 of the family's 1831-position model. Lineage: Eukaryota; Fungi. The record is from RNAcentral.